This 1856-nucleotide long non-coding RNA is filed under the name Homo sapiens (human). RNAcentral's name for it is "HSALNT0324674". Lineage: Eukaryota; Metazoa; Chordata; Mammalia; Primates; Hominidae. The record is from RNAcentral.
GGCAAACCGUUUGGGUCCUUCUCGGUACCCUGGUGGCUUUGUUGUUUUGCUCUUUGCAAUAGAUCUUGUUGCCGCUUGCUCUUUGGGGCCUCACUGCCUUUAUGAGCUAUAACACUCCCCGCAGAGGUCUGCAGCUUCAUUCUUGAAGCCAGCGAGACCACGAACCCACUGGGAGGAACCAACAACUCCAAACGCGCCACCUGUAAGAGCUGUAACACUCCCUGUGAAGGUCUGUGGCUUCACUCCUGAAGUCAGCGAGACCAGGAACCCACCGGAAGGAACUCCGGACACAAAGAACUGCAACACUCACCCGAGGGUCUGUGGCUUCAUUCUUGAAGUCAGUGAGAUUAAGAACCCACCGGAAGGAACCAGUUCCGGACGUGCCGAGUUCAAGCAAUUGUCCUGCCUCAGUCUCCGGAGUAACUGGGAUUACAGGUGCACGCUGCCAUGCCCAGCUAAUUUGUAUUUUAGUAGAGUCGAGGUUUCACCGCGUUGCCCAGGCUGGUCUCGAAUUCCUGAGCUUGGGCAACCCACUCACCUCGGCCUCCCAAAGUGCUAGGAUUACAGGCGUGAGCCACCAGGCCGGGCCCGUAUGGUGGUUUCUACUCCGGACUGACUCUCCCGGGUCUUGGUCACUCUGCAGAAUCCUGGACCGGAAGGGGGCCUCGGCCAGGGGAGGGCUUGCGAGGAGCCCCGGACCUACUGGCCAUUAUAGGGUGACGGGAAGUUCCUUGCAUCCCGGGAUCCCAUGGCACUUGGUCAGGGAAGCCUCCCCAGAGAGGCCCAACUCCCCAGAUCCAGGUGGGGAAUCAGGGUACCAGCCAGGCAGUGUUCCCACCCCAGCCAUGCUGCUGGCUUCCGUCCCUGUGGUGGGGUCACCCAGGUGGCUCAUGCCUCCACGCACAGCCUUGUGGACACCCCCACACCGCCCAUAGUCAAGUCAGAGCUCACGAGCCCACAGGGCAGAUACCCGCCACGAGGGGACGGUGGGCCAGGAGGGUCCUCUGUGGGCAGCGCCGUGUUCCUGAUCUCCCCAGGCUGCUGGGGGAUGGGGUGGGGCAGAGGAGGCCACCUUCCCAUUUCCCACUUUGCUGGGUCUCCCUCUUUGCUGGACAGUGCUGGGGCAGGUUACACACCCAUGACAGUGUGAGGACUGAGGGUGCGCGUCCUGGAGCCUUCAGGGCUUGGGUGGAGGGGGCAGCUUGUCCCCCUGAGGCCUGGGCCAGAGAUCCCAUUCUGAAUGCGGAGAGCCAAGAUUCUACCUGGAUCCUGGCCUUGUGGGUCACUGUGACGGCCCAGAGCUGACUUUAUGUGACAGUUUGUCCUGAGAUUUAAAACUGAAUAUUUAGACUCGUGGGAUCUGGGCAUCCACUUCAACCAAGGAUGGGGACAGGCAGCAGGGUGGAGGGUGGACGAUGCAGGAAGAUGCUGUAGGACCAAGAACAAGGGGGCUGUGAGGCAAAGGAGCAGCACGAGGAGCCGUGUGUGCCCACUGCCACUUGCAGCCUCAUUUCUCAACCCGACUGUGAUGACUGCCGCUUGCUGGAAAGAUGCUCUGAAGACACAAUGAACUGACAAUGCGUCACCCCGACUCCUGCCUGAGCCACUCCAUUCCUUAAAGACGGUACGUGACUCACGUCCUUGCUGUGUCCUGCACGAGAUAAGGUCUGGCAGGGUUGGUAAUUAUGCCUCUGGGAUCUGUAACCAGACAUUCUCUGUAACCAUUCUGUAUAAUCUGGACGUUCUCUGUAAUCCAGAUGUUCUGUGUAAACUGAAGUUCUCUGUAAUUGGACUUUCUCUAUAACCAGUUGUCCUCUGUAACCUUCUCUAUAAUCCAGAUGUUCUUUGCAACCAGA